RNAcentral lists this ribosomal RNA (922 nucleotides) under Yersinia pestis PY-53. RNAcentral's name for it is "bacterial LSU rRNA". It matches the Rfam family "Bacterial large subunit ribosomal RNA", at positions 1948 to 2864 of the family's 2925-position model. Lineage: Bacteria; Pseudomonadati; Pseudomonadota; Gammaproteobacteria; Enterobacterales; Yersiniaceae. The record is from RNAcentral.
GUCCUAAGGUAGCGAAAUUCCUUGUCGGGUAAGUUCCGACCUGCACGAAUGGCGUAAUGAUGGCCAGGCUGUCUCCACCCGAGACUCAGUGAAAUUGAACUCGCUGUGAAGAUGCAGUGUACCCGCGGCAAGACGGAAAGACCCCGUGAACCUUUACUAUAGCUUGACACUGAACAUUGAGCCUUGAUGUGUAGGAUAGGUGGGAGGCCUUGAAGUGUGGACGCCAGUCUGCAUGGAGCCAACCUUGAAAUACCACCCUUUAAUGUUUGAUGUUCUAACUCGGCCCCAUGAUCUGGGGUGAGGACAGUGUCUGGUGGGUAGUUUGACUGGGGCGGUCUCCUCCCAAAGAGUAACGGAGGAGCACGAAGGUUAGCUAAUCACGGUCGGACAUCGUGAGGUUAGUGCAAAGGCAUAAGCUAGCUUGACUGCGAGAGUGACGGCUCGAGCAGGUACGAAAGUAGGUCUUAGUGAUCCGGUGGUUCUGAAUGGAAGGGCCAUCGCUCAACGGAUAAAAGGUACUCCGGGGAUAACAGGCUGAUACCGCCCAAGAGUUCAUAUCGACGGCGGUGUUUGGCACCUCGAUGUCGGCUCAUCACAUCCUGGGGCUGAAGUAGGUCCCAAGGGUAUGGCUGUUCGCCAUUUAAAGUGGUACGCGAGCUGGGUUUAGAACGUCGUGAGACAGUUCGGUCCCUAUCUGCCGUGGGCGUUGGAAGAUUGAGAGGGGCUGCUCCUAGUACGAGAGGACCGGAGUGGACGAAUCACUGGUGUUCGGGUUGUCAUGCCAAUGGCAUUGCCCGGUAGCUAAAUUCGGAAGAGAUAACCGCUGAAAGCAUCUAAGCGGGAAACUUGCCUCGAGAUGAGUCUUCCCUGGGGCUUAAAGCCCCCUGAAGGAACGUUAAAGACUAUGACGUUGAUAGGCUGG